AUCAAAAAAAGAAACGUUGUUGAGGCGGUCGAGAAACCCUGAAUCUAGCUAAUCCUGCCUUUCUUGUUGAGGCGGUUGAGAAUCCUCUUAUCUAUUUUCCUUAAAAUCAUACGCGUAUCUGAUUACAAAGGUAAAUCCCAGACCGUUCUUCCAGUGGGGCUUUUGAGCUCUGAAUCCUCACAUUGGUUCUCUUACGCCUGUCUAGGGUUUACGAUGACUGGUGCGUGGCUGCGCGAAGAGAACGAACAUUGACCUGAUUUUUUUUCAUGCAGCCGAUGCGAUUCGAGCCGAUGAUACGAAUGUUGCCAAUCUAUGUUUACAUAGGUAUACGGAAUCACAUAGUUCUGGUGAAAUUAAAGGGAUGGAGAAGGAACGAGUCAGGAAAAGACAUGGGCUUGUGUGGGACGUGGCACCUACAGAACCAGAGGUUGGUUCGAUUACAGUUGGGGUUUUUUGACAGCGAAGGGAUUGGCAAGAGAAAAAGAGAGCAUCGGAUUGAUUUAUGGGUAUAUGAAACUUUGAAUUGUGAUACUACGGGUUUUGAUGAUCUGACCUAGAUGGUCAGGGUUGGAGGCGCAACGAGCUCUGGUUCUUCGGAACGGCAUGUAUGCCGCCGAGAAAGUAUGAUGAUUGCGAUCUCAUUCACGUCUUCGCUCUUGGCGAAAAUCUCACAUCUCGAUGUGAGUAUCUGUCCCUUCCUUCCUCGGUCUUUCUAUCUUGUGGAACUUGAUUGUUGUCUUCAUAUAUAUGUGUUCUCCAUCAUCGAUUCACAAGAUCUUGGGGUUUCAACCAAUUAGAUAAUUUUUGUAGAACAUUGUAUUCAUGUUGGUUAUUUUUUUGGCCCAAUAAACUCCAGCUGUCUUCGAAGGUUUUUCCUUUUGUUGCAAUAGUUAGUAUUUUGUGUUUAUAUCCACAGUUUUUUUGUCAUGUGAACAUGAUUCGAGCUA
Tripterygium wilfordii is the source of this 947-nucleotide long non-coding RNA. RefSeq lists it as uncharacterized. The record is from RefSeq and is a predicted model, not a curated record. The transcript is spliced from 2 exons. NCBI's taxonomy places the organism in Eukaryota, Viridiplantae, Streptophyta, Magnoliopsida, Celastrales, Celastraceae.